GACGGGUGAGUAACGCGUAAGGAACUUGCCUCUUGGUCUGGGACAACUGUUGGAAACGACAGCUAAUACCGGAUAUUAUGAGAUUCUCGCAUGGGAAACUUAUGAAAGCUAUAUGCGCCAAGAGAGAGCCUUGCGUUCCAUUAGCUAGUUGGUGGGGUAACGGCCCACCAAGGCGACGAUGGAUAGCCGGCCUGAGAGGGUGAACGGCCACAAGGGGACUGAGACACGGCCCUUACUCCUACGGGAGGCAGCAGUGGGGAAUAUUGGACAAUGGGCCACAAGCCUGAUCCAGCAAUUCUGUGUGCACGAUGAAGGUCUUCGGAUUGUAAAGUGCUUUCAGUUGGGAAGAAGAAAGUGACGGUACCAACAGAAGAAGCGACGGCUAAAUACGUGCCAGCAGCCGCGGUAAUACGUAUGUCGCAAGCGUUAUCCGGAUUUAUUGGGCGUAAAGCGCGUCUAGGCGGAAAAAUAAGUCUGAUGUUAAAAUGCGGGGCUCAACUCCGUAUUGCGUUGGAAACUGUUUUUCUAGAGUACUGGAGAGGUGGGCGGAACUACAAGUGUAGAGGUGAAAUUCGUAGAUAUUUGUAGGAAUGCCGAUGGAGAAGUCAGCUCACUGGACAGAUACUGACGCUAAAGCGCGAAAGCGUGGGGAGCAAACAGGAUUAGAUACCCUGGUAGUCCACGCCGUAAACGAUGAUCACU
This 702-nucleotide ribosomal RNA is filed under the name uncultured bacterium. RNAcentral describes it as "bacterial SSU rRNA". It matches the Rfam family "Bacterial small subunit ribosomal RNA", at positions 100 to 817 of the family's 1533-position model. The record is from RNAcentral.